RNAcentral lists this transfer RNA (69 nucleotides) under Ictidomys tridecemlineatus (thirteen-lined ground squirrel). RNAcentral's name for it is "Spermophilus tridecemlineatus (thirteen-lined ground squirrel) tRNA". It matches the Rfam family "tRNA". From Rfam's summary of the family: Transfer RNA (tRNA) molecules are approximately 80 nucleotides in length. Their secondary structure includes four short double-helical elements and three loops (D, anti-codon, and T loops). The record is from Rfam by way of RNAcentral. Lineage: Eukaryota; Metazoa; Chordata; Mammalia; Rodentia; Sciuridae.
GGGGCUGUAGCUCAGAGGUAGAGCACUUGCCUUGCAAGUAUGACGCCCUGAGUUCGAUCCUCAGCACCA